RNAcentral lists this ribosomal RNA (482 nucleotides) under uncultured bacterium. RNAcentral's name for it is "partial 16S ribosomal RNA". It matches the Rfam family "Bacterial small subunit ribosomal RNA", at positions 30 to 507 of the family's 1533-position model. The record is from RNAcentral.
AUUGAACGCUGGCGGCAUGCUUUACACAUGCAAGUCGAACGGUAACAGCACUUCGGUGGCUGACGAGUGGCGAACGGGUGAGUAAUACAUCGGAACGUGCCCAGUAGUGGGGGAUAACUACUCGAAAGAGUAGCUAAUACCGCAUGAGAUCUAAGGAGGAAAGCAGGGGACCUUCGGGCCUUGCGCUACUAGAGCGGCUGAUGGCAGAUUAGGUAGUUGGUGGGGUAAAAGCUUACCAAGCCGACGAUCUGUAGCUGGUCUGAGAGGACGAGCAGCCACACUGGGACUGAGACACGGCCCAGACUCCUACGGGAGGCAGCAGUGGGGAAUUUUGGACAAUGGGCGCAAGCCUGAUCCAGCAAUGCCGCGUGCGGGAUGAAGGCCUUCGGAUUGUAAACUGCUUUUGUACGGAACGAAAAGCCCUCUUCUAAUACAGGAGGGUCAUGACGGUACCGAAAGAAUAAGCACCGGCUAACUACGUG